This is an RNA transcript of Biomphalaria glabrata, 4347 nucleotides long. It is a transcript of the gene named spermine oxidase-like, with no coding region annotated. NCBI's taxonomy places the organism in Eukaryota, Metazoa, Mollusca, Gastropoda, Planorbidae. The record is from RefSeq and is a predicted model, not a curated record. The transcript has 2 exons.
UUACAUAUGCAAGUAAUAUUCUUUUUAUUAUAAGAUUAAAAUGGGUGCAAUUGUUAAGUCCAUUUUACUCAAAUGUGUAUUCUUAGUGUCGGUGCGUAGAUUAUGGCAUUCUAGCACCAAUGUGUAUUAAGUGCACAAUUUUUGAACGCACUUUCUUUUUGUUGCCUUGCUUGUAAGCUGAUGGAGCGUUUUUGUUAUUAUGCUGGUGAAACGUUUUCUUUGAGAUUCUUCUGUGUUCCCCUGUUUAGGGGAGUUAGUAUGGGAUUGGAGUUCUACACUAAGUACUAGAUUCAGCAGUGUGUUGUACUUUAGGGAAAGGAGAUGAGUAUUUCUCCCCAUGUAAGAGAACAACUUUUUCAUAUGUUGAUAAGUCAUUACGUGAAAAGUCUGUGGGUAAGCUGAAGUUUGAAAAGGGAAGAGUAAAUGGGAUAAGAGUGUCUGUUCUGAAAGAUUCUGGUUCGAGUGUUAUAGGAAUUAGAAGUUCAUUAGUUGGUGAGAAAGACAUGAUUCCUGGUACUUAUAAAUUAAAGCUUGUCGUUGGGACAGUCAGGGAUUACCCAUUGGCGUGUGUAAGUAUUGAGUCGGAUUACAUUUAUGGGAAAUAUGUGGUUGCUUGUUUUAAAGAUCCUGUUGCAGAUUUGUUUCUUGGGAAUGUUGAUAUUAAUGUGAAUCGGGAGUUUGAUUGCGCAGCAGUAACUAGGUCAGCGAAAGAUAGAGAGAAUGAUAGUGGCCCUGUAAAUGAGUGUGGAAUAUUGGAAGAUUGUCGUGAUGUUUUAGGUACGAGUGAUGAUUUUUUACGUGAACAGCUGAGCGAUCCGUCUUUGAAAGAUCUAUGGGAGCGACAUGUGGACAGUUGUGUAGAUAAUAAAAAGAAUGGAAGUGUGGAAUAUAAAGUGUUUGAUAGACUAUUGUACAGAGUGUUUAGGGGAAAGUUUGGUGAGGAAGAAAGACAGUUAGUUGUACCUUCAGCUAAGAGAGAAAUUGUGUUGAAAACUGCUCAUGAGAGUAUGUUGUCAGGGCAUUUGUCAUUAAGAAAGACUAAAAGUAAAAUCUACAAAUAUUUUUUCUGGCAAGGUUUAGAUGGAGAUAUAAAAGAGUUUGUAAUGUCGUGUGAUGUUUGUCAGAAUGCCGCGUCGUUGUGACAGAGUGGAGCUAGGCCAAAUGAAUGUUGUUACCACUCCGUUUUACAAAGUUGCUACAGAUAUUAUUGGACCAUUGGAGAUAACUGACAACAAGAAUAGGUAUAUUUUGACAGUGGUAGAUGUCGCUACCAGAUGGUCCGAAGCGAUACCUCUGAGGAAUAUAAACACAGAAACAGUUAUUGAGGCGUUAACUAAUAUUUUUUGUAGACUAGGGCUACCUAUAGAAAUAUUAAGUGAUCAAGGCCCCCAGUUUACUUCCGAAUUGUACAAACAGGUGUGCGAGUUUUUCUCAGUUAAACCCGUGCACUCCACUAUAUACCACCCCAGCUCUAAUGGUAUGAUAGAAAGGCUCAAUUCUACUUUAAAAUCCUUUUUAAGGAAAGUAUGUCAGGAUAGCCCUCAUGAUUGGGACCGGAAAGUUAGUGCAGCAUUGUUCGCCUACCGAGAGGUACCUAAUGAGACAACGGGGUUGUCGCCAUUUGAGCUUGUCUAUGGGAGACAAAUGAGAGGCCCACUGGCUAUUUUGAAGCAAGUAUUUGUAAAUGCUGAAGAAGAAACUGAAUAUACGAAUGUGUUGACUUAUUUAGUGGACUUAAAACAAAGAUUAUCAGAGGUGACUACUAUUGCUAAAUCUAACAGCGAUGCAAACAAAAAGAAGUACAAGAUGCAAUAUGACAAAUAUUCGUCUAGACGAGACAUUAAUGAGGGUGACUGUGUUUUAGUCCUCAAGCCACACAGAGACAAUAAGCUGUCCGUGUUUUGGCAAGGCCCGUAUAAGGUUGUGAAUAAAAUAUCAAAGUUCAAUGACGUGGUUGAGAAAGAAAAUAAGAUAAAGGUGUAUCACAUAAACCGACUCAUGAAAUAUCACUGUAGGGUAAAGGAAGUAAGCAAUUCAAACGUUAAAACUGAGGAUACAAAUGAACUUUUAUCAGCUACCAUGGUAUCAGUUGUGGGGGAAGAAGAAGUUGAUGAGCAGGAUGGGGAGAAGGAAGAUGUAGUGGCUAACAUCCCAACGCUAGAGAUUAGGUCGCAAGAGAUGAGUGGCGGGAAUGUGUUGACGCAGGUCAAAAUUAAUCCCGAUUUGAAUGCUACACAAAAGAAGCAAGUUGAUGACAUUUUGAGUGAAUUUAAAGACAUAAUAUCUGAUAUUCCUGGUAGAGCCAAGGUCGAAGAGUUUAAAAUUAAAUUGGUUGAUACGAAACCUGUAACUUUAAAACCAUAUACGGUACUUAUCCACUUGAGAGAUAAAGUUAAGCAAGAGAUUGACAGCAUGUUGGAUUUGGGAAUUAUAGGGCCAACAGACUCUCCCUAUGCAGCGCCCGUUGUUAUAAUAAAAAAGAAAGACGGAACUUUGCGACCUUGUAUUGAUUUUAGAAAAUUAAAUAAUGUUACUGAAAUACCCGCUGAGGUAAUUCCCGAACAAGAAGAUUUGUUCAACAUGCUUUAUAAAGCUAAGUACUUUACGUUACUGGAUCUGACUAAGGGUUACUGGCAAAUUCCAAUUUGUGAAACAAGCAAACCAUUUAAAGCAUUUAAAGUUUUGGGAGAACAUUAUAUGUUCCAUUAUUUACCCUUUGGUGCUCCUAAUCACUUUAACAAGAUUGUUAAGCGCAUGUUAAGAGGGUUAGAAAAUGUAUUGUUUUAUUUCGAUGACAUUUGUAUUUUCAGUGAGGACUGGGACAGGCACAUUGAAAGUGUUCGUAAUGUAUUUAGUGCUUUAAGAAAGAAUGGAUUUACAUUAAAACCCGCCAAAUUGGAGGUGGGCUUUACUAAUGUAAAAUUUCUAGGUCAUAGUGUCGGACAGGGAGUUGUCAAACCUGAUCAUAGUGAUGUGAAAAAGAUUUUGGAAUUUAAGACUCCAACUACAAAAAGGAACUUCGUAGUUUGAUUGGGUUAAUUAACUACUACAGUAGGUUUAUACCAAAACACGCGGAUUUAGUUUUUCCUUUUACGGAAUUAUUACGUCGUCGAAAAUCCAUAAGAGUACACUGGAGCUGUGAGUGUGCGGAGGCAUUGAAGAGAGUACAGGCUUGUCUGUACUGAUGCCUCAGACAAAGGGAAUCUCUGGCAUUCUUAGCCAGUGUGGGAAUGGUAGGUUGCAUCCUAUAGAAUUUGUGAGCCGUAAGCUGUUGCCUCGGGAGCAGAAGUAUUCUAUCAUUGAACGGGAAGGAUUGGCCAUUGUAUAUGCAAUAAAAAAAAUUGGACAGGUAUCUGGCCGGGAAAAAAUUUCAUCUCCAGACUGACCACAAGGCUUUAUCUUACCUUAGGAGCACUAACUUUACCAAUGCACGUAUUACAAGAUGGGCGCUAGUGUUGCAGGAUUAUUCUUUUGAUGUUGUUCAUGUCAAAGGGGAGGACAAUCUGCUUGCUGAUCUGUGUUCAAGAUUGUUAUAGACUUUCCAAUACGCAGCUACAUGAGCUACAUACUUAUGUAUUGUUUUAUACAUGUCUUAUGCAUUUUAUGGUUCCAAUGUAUACAUUGUUGUUUGAAAAUGUUUGCACUUUAUGUUAGAUGAUAUUAUGUUGCAUUUAGUAUUAUUGACAUUAAUUUGCUGAUUAUGCAUUUUAAAUUUGAUUGGUUGGUAGAUUGUGAUUUUGUGAAUGGUUCAUAGUGUAAUGUGGAUACUUUGGUAAAAAGUGUCAUUGGUAAUUUUUCUUCUAAGUUGUUAUGUUUGGAAGAGUGAUGUUAAUGCGGAUGAAUGUUCCCUAGCUGGAUGUGCUUACCUUGUAGUUGCAAUGAUAUCUUCUUACUUUUCUUUCAGUUUGAGGUACGGAAACUGGUCCAUACUUUGUAAGAACCAGUUUGGGGAGAGAGGGGGAAUGUCGGUGCGUAGAUUAUGGCAUUCUAGCACCAAUGUGUAUUAAGUGCACAAUUUUUGAACGCACUUUCUUUUUGUUGCCUUGCUUGUAAGCUGGUGGAGCGUUUUUGUUAUUAUGCUGGUGAAACGUUUUCUUUGAGAUUCUUCUGUGUUCCCCUGUUUAGGGGAGUUAGUAUGGGAUUGGAGUUCUACACUAAGUACUAGAUUCAGCAGUGUGUUUUGGUGUGAUUGCGAGCAUUUAUGUGUCACGUGGUCGGAUAGCAAGGUGUAGAAUUAUUGUUUAAUUAAUAGAUUCACAAUAAUAGAAUGUCCCAAAUUCAAUGUCAUUACUCCAUUAGUUUGUCAUCAUAACUUAUAUUCAUAUCAUUAAAUAUUUACAUUGUCAA